AAGGUCUUAGCUUAAUUAAAGUACAUGGGUUGCAUUCAUUUGAUGUAAGAUAAAGUCUUACAGAUCUUA
This 69-nucleotide transfer RNA is filed under the name Hemidactylium scutatum (four-toed salamander). RNAcentral's name for it is "tRNA-Ala". It matches the Rfam family "tRNA". Rfam says of the family: Transfer RNA (tRNA) molecules are approximately 80 nucleotides in length. Their secondary structure includes four short double-helical elements and three loops (D, anti-codon, and T loops). Lineage: Eukaryota; Metazoa; Chordata; Amphibia; Caudata; Plethodontidae. The record is from RNAcentral.